GGGGCGGUAGCUCAGCCCGGGAGAGCACUCGGCUGAAGACCGAGGCGUCGUGGGUUCAAAUCCCACCCGUCCCA
RNAcentral lists this transfer RNA (74 nucleotides) under marine sediment metagenome. It matches the Rfam family "tRNA". Rfam says of the family: Transfer RNA (tRNA) molecules are approximately 80 nucleotides in length. The record is from RNAcentral.